CUGGGUCCCAUCGCAUAAGAGGAAUUUAGAAAAUCCAUUGUAUCAAAAUCACCAGGUGUUACACAAACUAAGCCGUGUGUGCGACUGAAGAAUAAUGCUUCCAUUUCAGCUAUUGCCGGAUUGGACAGAUUUAAUGGGUAAAUAUACUUCUCGGUGUAGAAGAAGAGAUGGGUACGUGUAACGAUAAAGCGUAAAUUGUGACAAUCCUUUUCAGUGCCAAUAUUGUAAAAUUGCGUAAGUUUAAGUGGAAGGAAACUUUGUAGCUUCAUUGAUUCGGCUUCCGUAACAACGAUGGCUAAAUAUUAAAAAAGUAAUAAUUUAGCAAUAUUGCCAUUACGGAAACAAUCGUUUUAUUUAAAUAAACCUACCAACGCCAUAGUGUAUUUGAGGGGCGUGUGCUGUAUUGACAGCACCGGCGAGCACAUAAAUUUUACCAUCACAAAUAUGCAUAUCCAAAAGAUUUAAAUUUAUAUCCGGACUAUCUGCACAAUGAAUAUUUGUGAUAUUAUUAAUUAGUAAAAAAUUAAUUACUUAGUCAAAACAAUUUCA
Molecule: long non-coding RNA, 549 nt
Organism: Anastrepha obliqua
Lineage: Eukaryota; Metazoa; Arthropoda; Insecta; Diptera; Tephritidae
Exons: 2
Source: RefSeq, a predicted model, not a curated record